RNAcentral lists this transfer RNA (69 nucleotides) under Mytilisepta keenae. RNAcentral describes it as "tRNA-Tyr". It matches the Rfam family "tRNA". From Rfam's summary of the family: Transfer RNA (tRNA) molecules are approximately 80 nucleotides in length. Their secondary structure includes four short double-helical elements and three loops (D, anti-codon, and T loops). Further hydrogen bonds mediate the characteristic L-shaped molecular structure. tRNAs have two regions of fundamental functional importance: the anti-codon, which is responsible for specific mRNA codon recognition, and the 3' end, to which the tRNAs corresponding amino acid is attached (by aminoacyl-tRNA synthetases). tRNAs cope with the degeneracy of the genetic code in two manners: having more than one tRNA (with a specific anti-codon) for a particular amino acid; and 'wobble' base-pairing, i.e. permitting non-standard base-pairing at the 3rd anti-codon position. Lineage: Eukaryota; Metazoa; Mollusca; Bivalvia; Mytilida; Mytilidae. The record is from RNAcentral.
UAUAAAGUGGCCGAGGUUUAGGCGGUGGAUUGUAAAUCUAUUAACGGAGUUUAAACUUCCUUUAUUAAU